This 1480-nucleotide ribosomal RNA is filed under the name metagenome. RNAcentral's name for it is "bacterial LSU rRNA". It matches the Rfam family "Bacterial large subunit ribosomal RNA", at positions 1470 to 2925 of the family's 2925-position model. The record is from RNAcentral.
UGACGGAGAAGGCUAAAUCAGCCUGGCGUUGGUUGUCCAGGUGAAAGGAUGUAGGCAUGUAUCUUAGGCAAAUCCGGGGUACUCUAUGCUGAGAUCUGAUAGCAAGCUGUACUUGUACAGCGAAGUGGUUGAUGCCAUGCUUCCAGGAAAAGUCUCUAAACUUCAGUUACACAGGAAUCGUACCCGAAACCGACACAGGUGGUCAGGUCGAGUAGACCAAGGCGCUUGAGAGAACUCUGCUGAAGGAACUAGGCAAAAUGGUACCGUAACUUCGGGAGAAGGUACGCUGUUGUUGGUGAUGGAACUCGCUUCCUGAGCUGACGACAGCCGCAGAAACCAGGCCGCUGCAACUGUUUAUUAAAAACAUAGCACUCUGCAAACACGAAAGUGGACGUAUAGGGUGUGAUGCCUGCCCGGUGCUGGAAGGUUAAUUGAUGGGGUUAGCGUAAGCGAAGCUCUUGAUCGAAGCCCCAGUAAACGGCGGCCGUAACUAUAACGGUCCUAAGGUAGCGAAAUUCCUUGUCGGGUAAGUUCCGACCUGCACGAAUGGCAUAAUGAUGGCGGCGCUGUCUCCAGCAGAGGCUCAGUGAAAUCGAAAUCGCUGUGAAGAUGCAGUGUACCCGCGGCUAGACGGAAAGACCCCGUGAACCUUUACUGCAGCUUGACACUGAACUUUGACCUUACUUGUGUAGGAUAGGUGGGAGGCUUUGAAGCUGGAACGCUAGUUCCAGUGGAGCCGUCCUUGAAAUACCACCCUGGUAAUGUUGAGGUUCUAACUCUGUCCCGUGAUCCGGGACGAGGACCGUGUCUGGUGGGUAGUUUGACUGGGGCGGUCUCCUCCUAAAGAGUAACGGAGGAGUACGAAGGUGCGCUCAGCGUGGUCGGAAAUCACGCGUAGAGUAUAAAGGCAAAAGCGCGCUUAACUGCGAGACCCACAAGUCGAGCAGGUACGAAAGUAGGUCUUAGUGAUCCGGUGGUUCUGUAUGGAAGGGCCAUCGCUCAACGGAUAAAAGGUACUCUGGGGAUAACAGGCUGAUACCGCCCAAGAGUUCAUAUCGACGGCGGUGUUUGGCACCUCGAUGUCGGCUCAUCUCAUCCUGGGGCUGAAGCAGGUCCCAAGGGUAUGGCUGUUCGCCAUUUAAAGAGGUACGCGAGCUGGGUUUAGAACGUCGUGAGACAGUUCGGUCCCUAUCUACCGUGGGCGCUGGAAAUUUGAGAGGAUCUGCUCCUAGUACGAGAGGACCAGAGUGGACGAACCUCUGGUGUACCGGUUGUGACGCCAGUCGCAUCGCCGGGUAGCUAUGUUCGGAAGGGAUAACCGCUGAAAGCAUCUAAGCGGGAAGCCUACCUCAAGAUAAGAUUUCCCUAGGACUUUAUGUCCUCUAAAGAGCCGUUCGAGACUAGGACGUUGAUAGGUUGGAUGUGGAAGCAUAGUGAUAUGUGAAGCUGACCAAUACUAAUUGCUCGUGAGGCUUGACCA